Molecule: long non-coding RNA, 219 nt
Filed under: Elaeis guineensis (African oil palm)
Lineage: Eukaryota; Viridiplantae; Streptophyta; Magnoliopsida; Arecales; Arecaceae
Description: long non-coding RNA (EGUI_LNC020916)
Source: RNAcentral
UCACAAUAAAAAUAUUUAAUUAUCUUUUUUUUGAAUUUAGAUUUUCUUCUUGACUUAUCAUGGUUGUUAAAAUUUUAUGAGUUUUUGAUUUUACUUCUUUUUUAUCUUUCUAUAACCAAUGCCUUUGACUGUAUAGUCACACAAUGUUAUUUUCUUUUGAUUUUCUCAUUAAGCAUACUAUUCUCUAUUAUUUUUAAUGUCACCACAUAAUUAGGAGCU